GAGCCCGUGGCUCAAUGGUAGAGCGUUCGACUCAAAUACCAAAGGUCACGGGUUCGAAUCCCAGGUUUG
Schistocephalus solidus is the source of this 69-nucleotide non-coding RNA. The record is from Rfam. NCBI's taxonomy places the organism in Eukaryota, Metazoa, Platyhelminthes, Cestoda, Diphyllobothriidea, Diphyllobothriidae.